GCAGAGCGGUCCGUACGCCUGGAGACUUUGGGUCCGGGUCUUGCUCAUCCUCCCGUCAAGCACUGCGAAUGCUGGACUUAACGAGACCGAGUUCCAGCGCAGGUCGCGGCCUAGACUCGAUCCUUCUUUAGCCGGCUACGCAGCAGAGAAGUGUGCGCAGUGGCUGCUUGCAACUGCGGCGCUUUUCAGAGUGGAGUUUCUAGCAUUAGACUGUGGAUUAAGGAUGUCCACCUCGCCUGCUCGCUCCUCCUGGGGCUGCUGUGCACUAAUUACUCAUCAGAUCCUGCUUGAUGCACAUAUCAAGCCUACAAAUGGGAGCCAAGAGACACUCUGACUGGGGAUUUCGCAAUUCCUGAAACCUUUAAAAUAGCAUUCUCAUAAAACUUGAGUGGAUGACCUGAGGUGUGAACAUGUUUGUAUCAAGAUGCGUAUACUCGUGACUGCGUCUUCUGCAAAUCCAACAGGCCUUUGUUGUUACGGGUUGUUUCAAUGAAUUGCCUAAACUGUAGCCUAUAGCGUCCAAGGUGCCUGGUUUUCUAGGGAGAGGGCUCAGGUGCCACGCCUGGGCUGGUGGUCCUGAGUUCUAAGAUGGCCGACUGAGUUAGCCAGGAGAAACAAGACAGUAAACAAGACCCUCCGUGGCCUCUGCAUCAGCUCCUGGCCCUGGUUCCUGUCCUGACUUCAUUAAAUGUGGAUAUAUAUGCCAAAUAAA
This 712-nucleotide long non-coding RNA is filed under the name Rattus norvegicus (Norway rat). RNAcentral describes it as "long non-coding RNA NONRATT013933". Lineage: Eukaryota; Metazoa; Chordata; Mammalia; Rodentia; Muridae. The record is from RNAcentral.